UCAGAAUCCAGAAACUGAAUGGCUUAGAGAC
Molecule: non-coding RNA, 31 nt
Filed under: Mus musculus (house mouse)
Lineage: Eukaryota; Metazoa; Chordata; Mammalia; Rodentia; Muridae
Also listed under: 1 other name
Source: RNAcentral